Molecule: long non-coding RNA, 149 nt
Organism: Cervus elaphus (red deer)
Lineage: Eukaryota; Metazoa; Chordata; Mammalia; Artiodactyla; Cervidae
Exons: 3
Source: RefSeq, a predicted model, not a curated record
AUUUCAUCCAAAAAAAGGGUACAUUAAAGGACAAAAAAUGGCAAGGACCUAAUAGAAGCAGAACAGAUUACAAAAACGUGACAAGAAUACACAGAAUAACUGUACAAAAAAGCUCUUAAUGACCCAGGUAACCAUGAUGGUGUGGUUAU